Molecule: transfer RNA, 70 nt
Filed under: Dipodomys ordii (Ord's kangaroo rat)
Lineage: Eukaryota; Metazoa; Chordata; Mammalia; Rodentia; Heteromyidae
Rfam family: tRNA
About the family: Transfer RNA (tRNA) molecules are approximately 80 nucleotides in length.
Source: Rfam by way of RNAcentral
GGGAAUGUGGCUUAGUGGUAAAGUGCAUGCUUACAAUGCAUGAAGCCGUGGGUUCAAUCCUCCAUACCAC